This 691-nucleotide ribosomal RNA is filed under the name Chaetothyriales sp. RNAcentral describes it as "SSU rRNA". It matches the Rfam family "Eukaryotic small subunit ribosomal RNA", at positions 48 to 748 of the family's 1831-position model. RNAcentral also lists the same sequence under 3 other names. Lineage: Eukaryota; Fungi; Ascomycota; Eurotiomycetes; Chaetothyriales. The record is from RNAcentral.
GCCAUGCAUGUCUAAGUAUAAGCAACUAUACUGUGAAACUGCGAAUGGCUCAUUAAAUCAGUUAUCGUUUAUUUGAUAGUACCUUUACCUGGAUAACCGUGGUAAUUCUAGAGCUAAUACAUGCUAAAAACCUCGACUUCGGAAGGGGUGUAUUUAUUAGAUAAAAAACCAAUGCCCUUCGGGGCUCCUUGGUGAAUCAUAAUAACUUAACGAAUCGCAUGGCCUUGCGCCGGCGAUGGUUCAUUCAAAUUUCUGCCCUAUCAACUUUCGAUGGUAAGAUAGAGGCUUACCAUGGUCUUAACGGGUAACGGGGAAUUAGGGUUCUAUUCCGGAGAGGGAGCCUGAGAAACGGCUACCACAUCCAAGGAAGGCAGCAGGCGCGCAAAUUACCCAAUCCCGACACGGGGAGGUAGUGACAAUAAAUACUGAUACGGGGCUCUUUUGGGUCUCGUAAUUGGAAUGAGUACAAUCUAAAUCCCUUAACGAGGAACAAUUGGAGGGCAAGUCUGGUGCCAGCAGCCGCGGUAAUUCCAGCUCCAAUAGCGUAUAUUAAAGUUGUUGCCGUUAAAAAGCUCGUAGUUGAACCUUGGGCCUGGCUGACCUGUCCUCCUAAUCGAGCGCACGGGUUCGGUCGGGCCUUUCCUUCUAGGGAACCCCAUGCCCUUCACUGGGUGUGGUGGGGAACUAGGAC